GACGAACGCUGGCGGCGUGCUUAACACAUGCAAGUCGAGCGGUAAGGCCCUUUCGGGGUACGACGAGCGGCGAACGGGUGAGUAACACGUGGGUGACCUGCCCUCAGCUCUGGGAUAAGCCUGGGAAACCGGGUCUAAUACCGGAUAUGACUCCAUGACGCAUGUUGUGGGGUGGAAAGCCUUGUGCGGCUGAGGAUGGGCCCGCGGCCUAUCAGCUUGUUGGUGGGGUGAUGGCCUACCAAGGCGACGACGGGUAGCCGGCCUGAGAGGGCGACCGGCCACACUGGGACUGAGACACGGCCCAGACUCCUACGGGAGGCAGCAGUGGGGAAUCUUGCGCAAUGGGCGAAAGCCUGACGCAGCGACGCCGCGUGAGGGAUGACGGCCUGGUUGUAAC
This 397-nucleotide ribosomal RNA is filed under the name uncultured bacterium. RNAcentral describes it as "bacterial SSU rRNA". It matches the Rfam family "Bacterial small subunit ribosomal RNA", at positions 28 to 429 of the family's 1533-position model. The record is from RNAcentral.